RNA transcript from Lotus japonicus, 2915 nucleotides. RefSeq lists it as uncharacterized. NCBI's taxonomy places the organism in Eukaryota, Viridiplantae, Streptophyta, Magnoliopsida, Fabales, Fabaceae. The transcript has 5 exons. The record is from RefSeq and is a predicted model, not a curated record.
UUCCAAAAUUGCACUUGAAAUUGGGGCUAAUUUGUACUUCAGAGGAUCCUUUAAGGAGACCAAGCAUGGCUCCUGUCCAGAAUCUGGUUUUGGUUUUCCUUUCUCUUUCUAUCACCUUCUUCAUUGAUCAGCAAAGCCAAGCCAUGGAUCCAAAUCCAAACCGAAACUUAUCCUCUCCAACUUGGAAGUGGAAGAAUCAUGGUCAGACUCAGUGAAAUGAGUGAUAAAUUGGAAAGAAGAUAGCGACUCAACCUCUAUUGCGUGGUUUGAAUAGUUUUGGGCUUAGGCCCUCCAAAGUAUAAGAAAAAAUAUUAUGGCCACAGAGUACAUGCCUAUGUUUAAAUUGCUUGGAAAUAGGGCAUGUGGUGGGUAUGAUCAACUACAUCAAGAAUCAGUGGAGAACUUGGAUAUGAGAGAUUUUGAACUUGACAAAAUGAGCCUAGAUGACCCAGCUAUGGUGAUAUACGAUGAUGACAUGGCAGAUUGGUAGGUAUGCAACAUUUAAUGAAAUGAGGUUGUAGCUUGUGGUCCUUCCUUUGAUGCAUAUAAUUUGAUGUCUCUGCCUUUUGUCUCCGUUGUUGAUUUAGGCUGAAGCUUUUCUUAUGAAAUGACAAGUUUGUUUUGGGACACAAUUGCUCUUAAUGAGAAUGUGCUUGCGUAAAUAUCAAUUGUUAGUAUGAAAGUAACUAGGUAAUAUUUAGCAUAUUAAAAGAACAGAAUAGACAAAAUUCUAUAAGUAAGUUCAUAUAUUUAAAUUACUUCAGUUUCAUUCUUGAAAAUGUAUUUUGUAUGCUUACUUAGAUUACUUACCAUUUGUAUCCUUGAUGUUCUCCUAUAUGUGUAUGUGUUGCUGGAGCCAGAACACCACUUUCACCCUUAUAUAACCUAUCAAGUUUUGGGAGCCUCAGAGUCAAUGGAUCAAACUUUUCUGUUUCUGCUAAGAAUUAUGCAGAUUUUCUCUUUGGUAAACAAGAUUACAAAUUCAGUGGCAUCUCCUAAACAGAUUAUAGAACUGAUGCAAGUGGAAGACUUGACUAAUGGUAAAGGCAAAAGCCAUUUACAAGCAGUGAAGAUGGUAUUGUGAUGGUUGUGCAAAGGCCAAGUAGCAGAGUUGAUGUGGAAAAUAUGGUCUCUUAAUUAUGAUUUAUGGGUUGAAGAGUUGAUGUUUUGAAAAAGAGAGAAAGAGACUAAGAAGGGAGUUGUGCUAAAAAGGGAACAACGAACUUGGACAUGUGCUAGCCUUAUCUCUUAAUUUUCAUUAUGAUUUAGUAGGUUUGUCUUAUGGAUGGUUUGAAUUCUGGGUUUUAUUUUACAGCAUUGUUAAUUUUAUGAUUUGAAUCUUGCAAUGCCUAAAUGAUGUUACUCUUCAGCGAGGGAUGUUGCCUCUUUUGCAUUAGCUACAAAAGGGUGACCUGUGCUGGAUGAAAGAAGUUGAAAAUGGUAAUUGGUAGUUUUUUUCUGCAUAUUAUGUUGGCCUGAAGUGGGAUGUUAAAAUACUAAUGAUGGAUAAAUUUUGUUGUUAUUGAAGUUUUAUCAUGCAAUAGUUGUUUUCAACCUAAAUUUGCUUUUCUCACAGUUAAAUUUUGGAAAAUCAUUCUUUUAGUUUUACUUUUUGUUCUAGACUUCUUGGUCAAGAAGUUAGAUCAUUGAGAGGAAUUUCAGAUAUUACUAAAACUUCACAGUUGAGAAGGAUGGAUGUAUAUCAAGAUGGACAAAACUGCAGUACAUUUUAUUCUAAUGUUUUAGGGUAUACUUCUUAAUAGUAAAAAGUGAAAAAUAAAUAAGGAGUGCAUAUAGGUCUCAACUAUAGUUAAUUAUAAGAAUAUGAAGAUUAUGUGUCACAUGGAUGUACUUACCCAUGAACAACACAUUCACCGAUAUGCUUUUGAUGGCUCUUCCUUUUUCACCUUUCCUCCUUAUUGCACCAAUGCUGAUGCAUUGAAUUGGCUAACAUAUCGAAGAUUUCGCCAUCCUUCCCCUUUAGCAUUCUGGACCGAUAAAAAAUGUUCUUUCUUAUUUUAUUAUUUUCUUGCAGAGGUGAGCUGACUCAAACUAAGUGAUUUGAACAUUGUGAGCAAAAGUGCUGGCGCCUUUUAUAAUUAUUGUAUUUAUUUUGGUUAUUGUAUUUAUCUUUCUAAUGAUAGAAGACUUGAUUCUAUGAACUUGUGGUUGCAGCUAAGCUAGGCCUCUCCCUCAUCUCCUUCUGUAAGGCUUAGCCUCACUAACAAUUAUGGAAAAUAGUUGUAGUUUUUUGAUAGUUAUUUUAGUGCUAUGAUAACUCGAAUUUAAUUUAAUAACUGCUCCAAGUUCUUUUAGAAUUCUUGGACUAUACAUGCAAAUUCAUGUCAUAAAGAAUUGCAAUUUAUGUUCGCUUCCUCAGGUGAAUAAUGAGCAUCCAUUGAGUAAGGUCAUUGUCGAGUAUGCCAAAAAAUUCAGAGAUGAAGAGAAACCUUCUUUGUCAGAGGGAGAAUUCAAAGACGUAAAGAACCAUUCUUACUUAUUUAAGAUACUUAUGCUUAUGUGCAAAUAGAGAAACAACUUGCUUAGGCAACUAGAGUGAUAUACCAUGUGCAGAAUGAAUAAAGCAUAAUGAAAUUUAUUAUGGAAUAAAGAUCUUGUGACUUAUUUUUACUCUCAUUGUCCUUAUUCAUUUUCGUCUUUGGGCAAGGCUAGGGACAAGCUUUUCCCAAUUUUGGAAACAAAAACAAACUAUAAGUUUAGUACGUAGUUUGGGCAGGCUAUUUGAGAUGACAUUCUUUUUUGUAAUUGUCUCUACUUUAAUAGAGAUUUAGUAGAAAUCUCAUGUUCAUCUUGUUGACUUGCAGAAUUUAAUUGCAUUGUAGUCAGUUAACCUUAUGGUAUUUUGCUAAUGCCUUAUGAAUAUUAACAAAGUUUGUACAAAGUAACUUCACUUA